GGCAGUCUUGGUAAUGGCCAUCAACGGGUACCUUUUGGUGAGCUUCUUCUCAUCGGAAGUGAACGGAGUGCUCGUUGCCAUUUUUGUAUUUGUCUUCAUCGCUGCAUAUCUUGCCUUUGUUGUCUACCUCGUCUAUCAAAGCAUUUCGUUUUCAAGUUGGCACAACUUCAUUAAUCGGAAGACUUACACGGCCAAUGGAAA
RNAcentral lists this unclassified non-coding RNA (201 nucleotides) under Hevea brasiliensis (rubber tree). Lineage: Eukaryota; Viridiplantae; Streptophyta; Magnoliopsida; Malpighiales; Euphorbiaceae. The record is from RNAcentral.